UACGGAGGGUGCAAGCGUUGUCCGGAUUUACUUGUGUUAAAGGGUGCGUAGGCGGAUUAUUAAGUCAGUGGUGAAAGCCGACAGCUCAACUGUCGAACCGCCAUUGAUACUGGUAAUCUUGAGUAUAGUGGAGGCAGGCGGAAUUUACGAUGUAGCGGUGAAAUGCAUAGAUAUCGUAAAGAACACCUAUAGCGAAGGCAGCUUGCUAAACUAUAACUGACGAUGAGGCACGAAAGCAUGGGGAGCGAACAGG
This 253-nucleotide unclassified non-coding RNA is filed under the name uncultured Cytophagales bacterium. RNAcentral's name for it is "contains 16S-23S intergenic spacer region". It matches the Rfam family "Bacterial small subunit ribosomal RNA", at positions 524 to 776 of the family's 1533-position model. Lineage: Bacteria; Pseudomonadati; Bacteroidota; Sphingobacteriia; Sphingobacteriales. The record is from RNAcentral.